RNAcentral lists this transfer RNA (125 nucleotides) under Chitinophagaceae bacterium. RNAcentral describes it as "tRNA-OTHER". The record is from RNAcentral. Lineage: Bacteria; Pseudomonadati; Bacteroidota; Chitinophagia; Chitinophagales; Chitinophagaceae.
UCGGGGGUGGCGGAAGUGGUAUACGGCAGUAGAUUGACGGAAGCGCCACGAAGUCGUCCGUAAGCAGAAAUGCUGGUAUAAAACCUUAGCUCUGUGGCUUGAGGGUUCGAAUCCCUCCCCCCGAC